UGGUAGACGGAUGGUGUAUUAUACCUACAC
RNAcentral lists this non-coding RNA (30 nucleotides) under Rattus norvegicus (Norway rat). The record is from RNAcentral. Lineage: Eukaryota; Metazoa; Chordata; Mammalia; Rodentia; Muridae.